GGUAGUGCAGUUCAGUGGUAAAGCACUUGCCUAGCAUGCAUGAGACCCUGGAUUCUAUCUCCAGCACUGCAC
This 72-nucleotide transfer RNA is filed under the name Ictidomys tridecemlineatus (thirteen-lined ground squirrel). Its description in RNAcentral is "Spermophilus tridecemlineatus (thirteen-lined ground squirrel) tRNA". It matches the Rfam family "tRNA". From Rfam's summary of the family: Transfer RNA (tRNA) molecules are approximately 80 nucleotides in length. Their secondary structure includes four short double-helical elements and three loops (D, anti-codon, and T loops). Lineage: Eukaryota; Metazoa; Chordata; Mammalia; Rodentia; Sciuridae. The record is from Rfam by way of RNAcentral.